Molecule: long non-coding RNA, 205 nt
Filed under: Panax ginseng (ginseng)
Lineage: Eukaryota; Viridiplantae; Streptophyta; Magnoliopsida; Apiales; Araliaceae
Description: long non-coding RNA (PGIN_LNC018289)
Source: RNAcentral
ACAACUCUAAAGCGACCUAUAUUAAGGAACGAAGGGAGUAAAAAAUAAAAAGUUAAAGAGUUGAGUCCUUCUAGGGGGAUAUUUUUUUGCUGACAUUCUAGCGACAUUAUUUUUUUGGUUUUUUUUUUGUAGUACUUCUCAAAAAAUGUAUAAUAUUUAUUCCAACUGAAAUUUUUGUAAAAAAUAGUAUUUAGGUGUAAUUUGG